RNAcentral lists this ribosomal RNA (710 nucleotides) under uncultured organism. RNAcentral's name for it is "bacterial SSU rRNA". It matches the Rfam family "Bacterial small subunit ribosomal RNA", at positions 94 to 808 of the family's 1533-position model. The record is from RNAcentral.
AGUGGCAGACGGCUGAGUAACGCGUAGGAAUCUUCCCGAAGCUGGGGCAUAGCCACGAGAAAUCGUGGGUAAUUCCCCAUAAUGUCGGUCUUUGAUCGAUUAAAGGGCGUAACUGCUCGGCUACGGAUGAGCCUGCGUCCUAUCAGGUAGUUGGUGGGGUAAUAGCCUACCAAGCCAAUGACGGGUAGCUGGCCUCAUGAGGGUGGUCAGCCAGAGGGGGACUGAGACACGGCCCCCACUCCUACGGGAGGCAGCAAUCAGGAAUAGUCGGCAAUGGGCGAAAGCCUGACCGCGCAAUACCGCGUGUAGGAAGACGCUCGAAAGAGUGUAAACUACUGUGGCGAGGGAAGAAGCCUGGCUUAGCCAGGUUGACGGUACCUCGCUAGAAAGGGGCCGCUAACUUCGUGCCAGAAGCGUCGGUAAUACGAGGGCCUCAAGCGUUAUCCGGUGUUAUUGGGCGUAAAGAGUCGUGUAGGCGGUUUCGUAAGUUAUCUUUUAAAGAUUCCGGCUCAACCGGAAAAAAGGAGGUAAUACUGCGAGACUCGAGUUUUCUCAAGGGAGAAUGGAACUAAAGGAGGAGUAGUGAAAUGCGUUGAUACCUUUAGGAACACCAGUGGCGAAGGCGAUUCUCUGGGAGGAGACUGACGCUGAGACACGAAAGCUAGGGGAGCGAAGCAGAUUAGAGACCUGCGUAGUCCUAGCCGUAAACG